AGUUUUCUCUUGAUUGUUUUGAUUUACUCAGGAGGAGAAACUCUCAGUUUGGUCCUGGAGAUGGUGGAUGUUCACUAAGCUUACUGCGGUACCCAUUUCAUGAUGUAUGCCUCUGGGUCAGUAGGACCACAUGCAGCAAAUGGGCA
Molecule: long non-coding RNA, 146 nt
Organism: Eubalaena glacialis (North Atlantic right whale)
Lineage: Eukaryota; Metazoa; Chordata; Mammalia; Artiodactyla; Balaenidae
Exons: 3
Source: RefSeq, a predicted model, not a curated record